RNAcentral lists this ribosomal RNA (505 nucleotides) under uncultured bacterium. RNAcentral describes it as "partial 16S ribosomal RNA". It matches the Rfam family "Bacterial small subunit ribosomal RNA", at positions 29 to 523 of the family's 1533-position model. The record is from RNAcentral.
AGUGAACGCUGGCGGUAGGCCUAACACAUGCAAGUCGAACGGCAGCACAGGAGAGCUUGCUCUCUGGGUGGCGAGUGGCGGACGGGUGGGGAAUACAUCGGAAUCUACUCUGUCGUGGGGGAUAACGUAGGGAAACUUACGCUAAUACCGCAUACGACCUACGGGUGAAAGCAGGGGACCUCGGGCCUUGCGCGAUUGAAUGAGCCGAUGUCGGAUUAGCUAGUUGGCGGGGUAAAGGCCCACCAAGGCGACGAUCCGUAGCUGGUCUGAGAGGAUGAGCAGCCACACUGGAACUGAGACACGGUCCAGACUCCUACGGGAGGCAGCAGUGGGGAAUAUUGGACAAUGGGCGCAAGCCUGAUCCAGCCAUACCGCGUGGGUGAAGAAGGCCUUCGGGUUGUAAAGCCCUUUUGUUGGGAAAGAAAUCCAGCUGGCUAAUACCCGGUUGGGAUGACGGUACCCAAAGAAUAAGCACCGGCUAACUUCGUGCCAGCCGCCGCCGUAA